Molecule: unclassified non-coding RNA, 201 nt
Filed under: Hevea brasiliensis (rubber tree)
Lineage: Eukaryota; Viridiplantae; Streptophyta; Magnoliopsida; Malpighiales; Euphorbiaceae
Source: RNAcentral
AAAGGGGUUCUCUAUGGCACCGUCCCCUCCGUAAAACUCAGAACCUACAGACUUCAGAGCUUCAAAUCUUGAGAUUGAGAGUUCCUUCAGAGAUGUUAACAGUCCAAGAGGUGGCAAACUUGAGCAGCUUUUACACCCAUUUAACUCCAAGGAGACAAAAUUUGACAAGUAAGAAUUGGAAAACCAAUCCGGAAUUCCUGU